GGAAGGGUCAAACUUCAAAGGCUAACAGGUAAGCCAGUAAGCCCAAUUAAAGCUGGUGUUCCGUUCAUCUUCUUCCCCAAAAUCGCUGCCAGGUCCGAAUCGCUAUGGCUAAAACCUUUCCAAACUUUCUUUUUCUUCUCCUCGUUCCUUCCAUUUUUCUGUGCUCUUUUCCGACUCUUGCUACGCCAAAAUCUAACCAUUUUUCAAGAAUCUUAUCUCCGGCAACACUAGGCCUCAAGAAAGAGAAACUAACCCACCUUCGCUUCUACUUCCACGACAUAGUUAGCGGGCGAAACGCCACCGCCGUUCCAGUAGCACAAGCAGCCAUGACCAACACCUCCUCAUCGGCAUUUGGACUCAUGACGAUGAUGGACGACCCCUUGACUCUCGAGCCCCACCCCAGCUCCAAGCUCAUAGGAAGAGCACAAGGGAUUUACGCAUCAGCAUCACAAACCGAACUCUGUUUUUUAAUGGUCUUAAACUUCGCCUUCACGGAAGGGAAAUACAACGGUAGCAACCUUAGUGUUUUGGGACGGAACAGUGUAUUCUCCGGCGUUAGAGAGAUGCCGAUAGUGGGCGGAAGCGGGCUUUUCCGGUUUGCUCGUGGGUACGCUCAGGCCAGGACUCAUGAGUUGGACCUGAAGACUGGGGAUGCAGUGGUGGAGUAUAACGUCUAUGUCUUCCAUUAUUGAGUUUUAUUUUCCUUUUUCUUUUGUUCAAUGGCUAAAAAUCCUGCUACUGGGCGUAAAGGGUUAUGCAAUGAAUGCAUGUAUCAGUGUUCAGUAUCAAUUAAUUAAUGAGAUAUUAAAUUCAAAUUUAAUAAAAAUGAAUGAAGAAGAUUAAUUAAAAACUGAAAAUUGAUAAAAAUAGAAAAAAAUAAUUGCAUAGUUCAUGAUGGGCCUGGCAGGUCUGGAGGAUAGAGAUGGCUGAUGUUUGUUUUGGUUUAGCUUUUGGUCCAUUGCUGUUACUGCUUUGAUUUUAUUUAUUUACAAAAAGAAAGGAAGUUAAGUUCACC
Molecule: unclassified non-coding RNA, 1015 nt
Filed under: Hevea brasiliensis (rubber tree)
Lineage: Eukaryota; Viridiplantae; Streptophyta; Magnoliopsida; Malpighiales; Euphorbiaceae
Source: RNAcentral